This is an unclassified non-coding RNA of Fukomys damarensis (Damara mole-rat), 288 nucleotides long. Its record names the gene 7SK. It matches the Rfam family "7SK RNA". Rfam says of the family: 7SK was discovered as an abundant small nuclear RNA in the mid-70s but a possible function has only recently been suggested. Two independent studies have found that 7SK RNA binds the CDK9/cyclin T complex (known as elongation factor P-TEFb). P-TEFb activates transcription by phosphorylating the C-terminal domain of RNA polymerase II. The record is from Ensembl. Lineage: Eukaryota; Metazoa; Chordata; Mammalia; Rodentia; Bathyergidae.
GGGCGAUGGCGAUAUGGCUACAACAUGUCACUCCAUUGACCACUGGGGUUCAUUCGGCUCUCUGGCUGCCUAGGCGCCUGUUUCCUUCCUCCCUCCAAGUGUGUCCCUCCCAAAGCUGCACACUAAGGGGAUGACCACCCCGUAGAGGAGGGUCAUUUCCUUUGGCAAGGCUAUAUGAGUAACUGCACUCCCUGGCUAGAACCUCCAAACAAGCUCUUAAAGUGGUUGCCUUCGGGGUUUGUUAUAGAAAGCCAUAUAAAUACAAAAUGAGACAAAUUCAGAGAGUUU